Molecule: ribosomal RNA, 108 nt
Filed under: Staphylococcus capitis
Lineage: Bacteria; Bacillati; Bacillota; Bacilli; Caryophanales; Staphylococcaceae
Source: RNAcentral
ACAAUGGCAAGGAGGUCACACCUGUUCCCAUGCCGAACACAGAAGUUAAGCUCCUUAGCGCCGAUGGUAGUCGGGCUUACGUCCCGCUAGAGUAGGACGUUGCCAGGC